UUUAUCUAUAAGUUUAAAUUGUUAGUAUCACUGUAUCAGAGAUUUGUUGGAGGUUUUCAAUCCUAGCGGUUUAAUCAUUUAUUUAAUUGUCUCUGAUUCUUUUUGUAAGUUUCUCGAGUCAAUCUGUUGCUUAACAAUCUGGCUCCUUGGGCCCAUGAUUGUUCUGGGAUGUUGCCUAUAUGGUAUGCCAGCAGCUAUACU
RNAcentral lists this long non-coding RNA (201 nucleotides) under Elaeis guineensis (African oil palm). RNAcentral's name for it is "long non-coding RNA (EGUI_LNC006958)". Lineage: Eukaryota; Viridiplantae; Streptophyta; Magnoliopsida; Arecales; Arecaceae. The record is from RNAcentral.